This 1245-nucleotide ribosomal RNA is filed under the name metagenome. Its description in RNAcentral is "bacterial LSU rRNA". It matches the Rfam family "Bacterial large subunit ribosomal RNA", at positions 1564 to 2818 of the family's 2925-position model. The record is from RNAcentral.
UGAGUACGAGAUGCUACGGCGUCGAAGCAGUCUAUGUCAUACUUCCAAGAAAAGCUUGCACUGUCAUAAACAAAGAAUGCCUGUACCAUAACCGACACAGGUGGGUAGGUAGAGUAUACUAAGGGGCGCGAGAUAACUCUCUCUAAGGAACUCGGCAAAAUGACUCCGUAACUUCGGGAGAAGGAGUGCCUUAUUUUUAAGGUUGCAAUAACAAGAUCCAAGCAACUGUUUACCAAAAACACAGGUCUCCGCUAAGUCGUAAGACGAUGUAUGGGGGCUGACGCCUGCCCAGUGCCAGAAGGUUAAAGAAGUUGGUUAGCAUUCGCGAAGCUGAUAACUGAAGCCCUGGUGAACGGCGGCCGUAACGAUAACGGUCCUAAGGUAGCGAAAUUCCUUGUCGGGUAAGUUCCGACCCGCACGAAAGGCGUAAUGAUUUGGAUACUGUCUCGGAGAGGGGCUCGGUGAAAUAGACUUGUCUGUGAAGAUGCGGACUACCUGCACCUGGACAGAAAGACCCUAUGAAGCUUUACUGUAACUUGAGAUUGAAAUUGGACUUUAUUUGCGCAGUAUAGGUGGGAGGCGUUGAGAAUAAUCUUGCGGGAUUAUGGGAGCCAUCAGUGAGAUACCACUCUUGUAAUGUUAGAUUUCUAACUUUGUAUCAUUAUCUGGUCAAAGAACAGUUUCAGGCGGGCAGUUUGACUGGGGCGGUCGCCUCCCAAAGGGUAACGGAGGCGCACAAAGGUUUCCUCUGAACGGGUAGAAAUCGUAUCUAGAGUGUAAAGGCAUAAGGAAGCUUGACUGUGAGACCUACAAGUCGAGCAGGGACGAAAGUCGGUCUUAGUGAUCUGACGGUGCUGAGUGGAAAGGCCGUCACUCAACGGAUAAAAGUUACUCUAAGGAUAACAGGCUGAUCUCCCCCAAGAGUUCACAUCGACGGGGAGGUUUGGCACCUCGAUGUCGGCUCAUCGCAUCCUGGGGCGGUAGUACGUCCCAAGGGUUGGGCUGUUCGCCCAUGAAAGCGGUACGCGAGCUGGGUUCAGAACGUCGUGAGACAGUUCGGUCCAUAUCCGGUGUAGGCGUUAGAAUAUUGAAAGGAGCCUUCUCUAGUACGAGAGGACCGAGAAGGACAUACCUCUGGUGUACCAGUUAUCGUGCCAACGGUAAACGCUGGGUAGCUAUGUAUGGAGUGGAUAACCGCUGAAAGCAUCUAAGUGGGAAGCCCACCUUAAGAUAAGUAUUCUCAUC